Molecule: ribosomal RNA, 274 nt
Filed under: uncultured bacterium
Lineage: Bacteria
Description: partial 16S ribosomal RNA
Rfam family: Bacterial small subunit ribosomal RNA
Source: RNAcentral
AUACGGAGGGGGCUAGCGUUGUUCGGAAUUACUGGGCGUAAAGCGUACGUAGGCGGACUGAUCAGUUGGGGGUGAAAUCCCAGGGCUUAACCCUGGAACUGCCUUCAAUACUGUCAGUCUUGAGAUUGGAGGAGGUGAGUGGAAUUCCUAGUGUAGAGGUGAAAUUCAUAGAUAUUAGGAGGAACACCAGUGGCGAAGGCGGCUCACUGGUCCAAUACUGACGCUGAGGUACGAAAGCGUGGGGAGCAAACAGGAUUAGAAACCCUAGUAGUCC